RNAcentral lists this ribosomal RNA (497 nucleotides) under uncultured bacterium. RNAcentral describes it as "partial 16S ribosomal RNA". It matches the Rfam family "Bacterial small subunit ribosomal RNA", at positions 28 to 507 of the family's 1533-position model. The record is from RNAcentral.
GACGAACGCUGGCGGCGUGCCUAAUACAUGCAAGUUGAGCGCUGAAGGUUGGUACUUGUACCAACUGGAUGAGCAGCGAACGGGUGAGUAACGCGUGGGGAAUCUGCCUUUGAGCGGGGGACAACAUUUGGAAACGAAUGCUAAUACCGCAUAAAAACUUUAAACACAAGUUUUAAGUUUGAAAGAUGCAAUUGCAUCACUCAAAGAUGAUCCCGCGUUGUAUUAGCUAGUUGGUGAGGUAAAGGCUCACCAAGGCGAUGAUACAUAGCCGACCUGAGAGGGUGAUCGGCCACAAUGGGACUGAGACACGGCCCAAACUCCUACGGGAGGCAGCAGCAGGGAAUCUUCGGCAAUGGACGAAAGUCUGACCGAGCAACGCCGCGUGAGUGAAGAAGGUUUUCGGAUCGUAAAACUCUGUUGGUAGAGAAGAAAGUUGGUGAGAGUGGAAAGCUCAUCAAGUGACGGUAACUACCCAGAAAGGGACGGCUAACUACGUG